GAUGAACGCUGGCGGCGUGCCUAAUACAUGCAAGUCGAGCGAACAGAUAAGGAGCUUGCUCCUUUGACGUUAGCGGCGGACGGGUGAGUAACACGUGGAUAACCUACCUAUAAGACUGGGAUAACUUCGGGAAACCGGAGCUAAUACCGGAUAACAUAUUGAACCGCAUGGUUCAAUAGUGAAAGGCGGCUUUGCUGUCACUUAUAGAUGGAUCCGCGCCGUAUUAGCUAGUUGGUAAGGUAACGGCUUACCAAGGCAACGAUACGUAGCCGACCUGAGAGGGUGAUGGGCCACACUGGAACUGAGACACGGUCCAGACUCCUACGGGAGGCAGCAGUAGGGAAUCUUCCGCAAUGGGCGAAAGCCUGACGGAGCAACGCCGCGUGAGUGAUGAAGGUCUUCGGAUCGUAAAACUCUGUUAUCAGGGAAGAACAAAUGUGUAAGUAACUGUGCACAUCUUGACGGUACCUGAUCAGAAAGCCACGGCUAACUACGUG
RNAcentral lists this ribosomal RNA (497 nucleotides) under uncultured bacterium. RNAcentral's name for it is "partial 16S ribosomal RNA". It matches the Rfam family "Bacterial small subunit ribosomal RNA", at positions 28 to 507 of the family's 1533-position model. The record is from RNAcentral.